RNAcentral lists this ribosomal RNA (330 nucleotides) under Triticum aestivum (bread wheat). RNAcentral's name for it is "partial small subunit ribosomal RNA". Lineage: Eukaryota; Viridiplantae; Streptophyta; Magnoliopsida; Poales; Poaceae. The record is from RNAcentral.
AUGGUCUGGAUACUGUCCCUGAUCCACAACAAAGAUGGUAGUCUGGGUAGCACGCCCUACAUACCAGCAGACAUCACAAACCUAAAGGUGAAGUACUAUAGAGAGAGCAAGUUGGCUGACAUAGAAGACAUGAUUACCUACUUCGAAGAGAAAGCAAAAGAAGAUCUUGAUUUCUUCUACAAAAUAAGACUAGACGAUGAGGAAUGUGUAAGAAACAUGUAUUGGGUGGAUGGUGCAGCAAGAAGAGCCUACAAGCAUUUUCGUGAUUGCAUUUUUUUGACGCGACAUAUCUCACGAAUAUGUACAAGAUGCCAUGUGCUCCAUUCAUAG